RNAcentral lists this ribosomal RNA (669 nucleotides) under Inocybe abjecta. RNAcentral describes it as "eukaryotic LSU rRNA". It matches the Rfam family "Eukaryotic large subunit ribosomal RNA", at positions 1 to 648 of the family's 3401-position model. The record is from RNAcentral. Lineage: Eukaryota; Fungi; Basidiomycota; Agaricomycetes; Agaricales; Inocybaceae.
UUGACCUCAAAUCAGGUAGGACUACCCGCUGAACUUAAGCAUAUCAAUAAGCGGAGGAAAAGAAACUAACAAGGAUUCCCCUAGUAACUGCGAGUGAAGCGGGAAAAGCUCAAAUUUGAAAUCUGGCGGUUCUUUGACCCGUCCGAGUUGUAAUCUAGAGAAGUGCUACCUGUGCUGGACCGUGUACAAGUCUCCUGGAAUGGAGCAUCACAGAGGGUGAGAAUCCCGUCUUUGACAUGGACUGCCUGUGCGUUAUGGUGCGCUCUCGAAGAGUCGAGUUGUUUGGGAAUGCAGCUCAAAAUGGGUGGUAAAUGCCAUCUAAAGCUAAAUAUUGGCGAGAGACCGAUAGCGAACAAGUACCGUGAGGGAAAGAUGAAAAGAACUUUGGAAAGAGAGUUAAACAGUACGUGAAAUUGCUGAAAGGGAAACGCUUGAAGUCAGUCGCGUUGGCUAGAAAUCAGCCUUGCUUUUGCUUGGUGUACUUUCUGGUUCGAUGGGUCAGCAUCAAUUUUGACCAUUGGAUAAAGUCGGUGGGAAUGUGGCAUCUUAGGAUGUGUUAUAGCCCGUUGUCGCAUACAGUGGUUGGGAUUGAGGAACUCAGCACGCCGCAAGGCCGGGUCUUUUGACCACGUUCGUGCUUAGGAUGCUGGCAUAAUGGCUUUAAUCGAC